AAAGCUCUGACAUCCGCUCGACUUCCUAGGCACUAACUUCGACGCUACUCACUAAGGCGAUGCCUGAUGCGAUGACGAGGCAGUCCAUGACACGACUGCAACCUCGCUCUGCACUAAAUCUGACUGCGGUGCCCACCAUCGAAACAACAAUUGAAGCAUCCAAGGGCCUGACUGCACUAAUCACUAGGAGAAAGCAGAACGA
Molecule: long non-coding RNA, 202 nt
Filed under: Ricinus communis (castor bean)
Lineage: Eukaryota; Viridiplantae; Streptophyta; Magnoliopsida; Malpighiales; Euphorbiaceae
Description: long non-coding RNA (RCOM_LNC001446)
Source: RNAcentral